Molecule: long non-coding RNA, 238 nt
Filed under: Ananas comosus (pineapple)
Lineage: Eukaryota; Viridiplantae; Streptophyta; Magnoliopsida; Poales; Bromeliaceae
Description: long non-coding RNA (ACOM_LNC011481)
Source: RNAcentral
UUUUUCUUGAAUAUAUAUAGAUGCAAUGAUGAGAUGAAAAAUUAAAAUAUAUAUUUUACUAAAAAAAUUAAGUAAAUUUAUAUAAAAGUAUAAGUUUUAAAUUUUGAUCAUUUUUUACUGCGUGCUCAAGCAGAUAGUCAAAAAAAUAAUGAAAGAAUAUUUUAAAAAUUUGGAUAUUUUAGGGAUUUUCUAAUUGUUAAAUUUAAAUUACAAGGAAGAUUAAUUCUAGUGAAAUUAG